AGCACCUAGAAGCCUAGGGUGGGCGGGGCGAGGAAGUAGAGGCGGAGAGAGUGGCGUGGAGGACGACGGGAAGAAAGUGCUUGCGCCGCGUUUAUGACGUUUCCAGGGUGUAGGUUUGAGGGAGAGGCUGAGUAAUGUUCCGCGGCCUUGAGAAAAAUAUUCCCCUAAUGAGAAAACCGAAAAGCGAGCGGAGAAAAUGAAUUCCCAAGUUUUUUUUUUCGCCGAUUAUAUUUUGUGUAUUCUGCCCUUCACAGCCGGCGCGUAGCCAUAGGCUGUGACUCAGCAUAUAAAAAGCGGAACGCCGGAAGUAUUUUUCGCCGCCGGAUGGGAGCUGCGAGAGAGCUAAACUAAGCUGAAUGCCAGAUAGCCGUUAAGGUUUUUCACCUUAUCGCCAGGCAAACCUUGGUGCUGUUUGCCCUCAGAGCCUAAGAAAGUGCUUUAAAGACCAGUGUGCUCAUUCUUCCAUGCGAAAACAUUAGCUACCCCACAGCCUAGAGUCCACAGCAUUAUGUUCAGCUAACUUUAAUUAAGUAGCCACAGCUUCCCUGGCUACUACCCUGAAGUACCUUUUCCAAAGUUUUUUCUGCUUGUAAUGGUCUUUGGUGGGCCAUGAUCUAAACUGUAACUGAAACAGACAUACUUGGAAAAUGAAAAGCAACUGCCAUGUUAAUGAAGUACAAUAUACUGACACCGAUGAUCAUCUAUCAGUUUUUAAGCUAAGAACUCCUCUGGACUUCCCUCCUUCAAGGAAAUGGUUUUUCUUGUAUAUCCAGCCCCCAGCUUAGCUUCCCAGUCAGUACAUUGUGAAGCAGUCAGUAAUGUUUGUUGUUGAAUAAAUACCUGAAGUGACAUGUC
Long non-coding RNA from Leopardus geoffroyi (Geoffroy's cat), 855 nucleotides. RefSeq lists it as uncharacterized. The transcript is spliced from 2 exons. The record is from RefSeq and is a predicted model, not a curated record. NCBI's taxonomy places the organism in Eukaryota, Metazoa, Chordata, Mammalia, Carnivora, Felidae.